ACGUGAUUACCCGCUGAACUUAAGCAUAUCACUAAGCGGAGGAAAAGAAACUAACAAGGAUUCCCUUAGUAACGGCGAGUGAACAGGGAUAAGCCCAGCACCGAAGCCUGUGGCCGUUUGGCCCCUAGGCAAUGUGGUGUUCAGGUUAGCUCGCGGGGAUGCUGCUCCACCCUAAGUCCUAUAAUGAGUAAGGUUACUCGGACAUGGCCCACAGAGGGUGAAAGGCCCGUGGGGGUGGAGAGUCAGAUUGGCCAGUAUCUCCCUGAGCAGACCUUGGAGUCGGGUUGUUUGUGAAUGCAGCCCAAAGCGGGUGGUAAACUCCAUCCAAGGCUAAAUACUUGCACGAGUCCGAUAGCGAACAAGUACCGUGAGGGAAAGUUGAAAAGUACUUUGAAGAGAGAGUAAACAGUGCGUGAAACCGCUCAGAGGUAAACGGGUGGAGUUGAACUGCAAGCUCUGAGGAUUCAGCUGGUGAGUUUGGCAUGAGCUUGGUCAUGUGGGUUGUGUGUUCGGGUCUGCUUAGCUGCAGGUCCUCGCCUUUGGUGGGGAUGCGCGUAUCGCUUAUCAAGCGUUGUGCGCCCGUUCUUGUCGGACCUGCUUGUCAGUGCACUUUCUCAG
This 618-nucleotide ribosomal RNA is filed under the name Hypoderaeum conoideum. RNAcentral describes it as "eukaryotic LSU rRNA". It matches the Rfam family "Eukaryotic large subunit ribosomal RNA", at positions 15 to 501 of the family's 3401-position model. Lineage: Eukaryota; Metazoa; Platyhelminthes; Trematoda; Plagiorchiida; Echinostomatidae. The record is from RNAcentral.